Molecule: non-coding RNA, 4181 nt
Organism: Anas platyrhynchos (mallard)
Lineage: Eukaryota; Metazoa; Chordata; Aves; Anseriformes; Anatidae
Source: RefSeq, a predicted model, not a curated record
UACUACCAAGCCAAAAUUUUUAACAUAAAAACAACCAGCUACUAUGGCAAUUGGAAUGACUAAAAAUUACCCAGAACUUUGAAUUAGUGUGUAUCUGUUUUCAUCUUCUGUCCUUCCCUACUGCCUCUUAGCACUGUAAAGGGUGGAAGACAAAUGCAGAUCUGAUGGGAAGGCCAUCAACAAGCAGGCUAUGGCUUUUGCCACACUAACUCCUGCCACAGGGGGAACCAAACCCAGUUUGCCCUAACAGCGCUCUAGCAGCCUGCUGCUAGUUUUUGCUUCUCUAAGGACUCUGAAUCAUCCUGUUCUUUUGUGUACUCCUCCCACACGCAAGGUCUCAUAUGAGGCAGCCUAUCUUUUCUAGCAAGAAAAGCUGCACAGAGAUUCCCUUGCGAGCAUGUGUAAUACUGCUGCUGAAUUGGCUAAGGAUAUAACGCAGAGCACCAAGAGACUGAGCACAAAGCCAGCCUGGGAGCAAAGAGCAGAGCCUGGAACUGCAAUUCCACCAAGCCCUAUACGGUAGCAUGGGACUAGGUCGGCUGUAUAUCAGAUUACUGCAACGCUCUACAGGCAAUGGAAUGCUAAGACCACAACUGGGCAGUGCAACUUGGAGAACUAUUUUCUUCUGCUCUUCAAAACUAGUUUGACUAGACUUUAAGAUGACUCCCAGGAUCUAUCACCAAAUGGACACAGUUGUUACCUCAGGCAGCCCAUUGUGAUCAUUUGCAGGACUUGGUCUCUGCUGUUUUCCUGGCAGCAGUGCUCAAUCUCUUUCCAGCUCAAAUAAUCUGCCAAGCAGCAUUUCACCACUGCCAUUUCCUAUGGCAGGCUGACAGUCUUGAGUUGUUAUGCCUACUGUUCAUGCCAGGACCUUGUGUUUGGUGACACUUCUGUGUGACUCAGUUCAGGCUCAAUGAUUCCUGCAAAGUAAACAAGGCCAUAGACAAUAACCUGAAGAGCUCAACUAAUCCAGGAACGACCCCACUGUUACAGCUGUUUCUCCAUAAUGAAAAUUAAAGGAGAGGGGAUUGGUAGAGAUCAGGAGCAAAAAUGAACAACUGAUGAACACAAUCCUGCUGGACCAAUGUGAUAUGGUGACAUGCGGUUUUGAUUCUUCUGGAGGCUGUGGGUAUGUGUGUGGCUGCAGAAUUCUGGAAAACGGAAUCUUUACAGCCCCAGAAACAUCACCAUAAGCUCUACAUACAUCCGAAACAAAACAAAAGACCAUGGAACUGAAUUUGACUUUUCUCUGGAAAUCAUCAGUCCUGAUAUCUUUGCACCUCACUGAGCAAAACUUUACUUCAUGCAUGGCAUUUUGUGAUCUUAAGUCUUUAAACCUAAUUUUGACCUGUGUAAAAUCCUGCAUCAGAAUUCCUUCUCUAUGUAAAUAGCAAAUAGCUAGCUGAGGUCAUAUGUUUUUUGAGUCUAUCCUAAGAAUAUAACUUCCUUUAACAGGGAAAAAAGCCAAGUUUCUUUGUUGGCCAACAACAAAAGCUGUAUAUACUUGUCAGACACUUAAAGCAUAAAUAGUCAGCUGGUUCAGUGUCACAUGGGCCCCUUCUCUAAAUUCCAGUCUAGAAAAGAGAUUAAGACAUCUCAUCUUUUGCGAUACAGAAGACAAGAGCAACACUUGCUGGUGUUAACACGUGAAGAAAUUUCUGAGUGCACAGCUGUAAAGAUCAGUCCUUUGCUGCAAGCAGUCUUUCUAGUGGCCAUAGAAUAACUGAAUUGAAAGAUGGCAUUUUCACCAUUGAAUAUCCCAUUGUAUGGUUUUUAAAAGGUACAUACACAGCUGGAGGAAAAAUCAAAAGACUAUUUCUCUUCACCACAAUGAAUGCUAAGUUAUAUCAUUUGAAAUAAUUAUGAAUGUCAGUGUGUAGCUGUCAUUUUAUUUCUAGCUAAGCUAAGGAAGACCGAUGACAUUGUAAAAGGCAUUGCAAAGACCUACCCUGGUCUGUGUACAGGUUUGAUCAUUUAUAUCCAGGAUAAAUACCCACAGGAAAGUUGCUAAGAUGAUACAAAGAAGAGUAAGCCUGGCUUAUAAUGCAUAGGCUACAAAAUAAAAGCUGAGGGGAACUCGUUGUGAAACAGAACCAUUCUUGGUUCAGAGGGUAAAACACUGGAAAUAAAAAAAGAACUAUUUAAGCUGAAUAUUGUCAAAAAGACAAACUGACAAUGUGUAAACUGGAGCUGAAAAUUAGAAGAUUCCUAACCUAAGUGAGAUUCUGUAACUGGCUUUCUAUCGGAGCAAUGAAAGUUUUCUUCCUUCUCUAACUGUAUAUAAAGCCUGACAAAUUAAAGAAGGGGCUUGCAUGAUAUGCUCCUAGCAAUACCAGGAACUGGACUCAGUCAGAACUUACUUCCAGACAUGCUGCUAUUUAAGAUACCCAAAGCCACUGAAAUCUCCACUGAACUUGGAGCACAGACCAGGACCAUUGCAUUCCAAUUCUAUAUAAAACAGCACUUUCCCCCAUAUGUGUUCCCACCAAAGGCAAUAUGACAGCUCACAGUGCCUUAAAAAUAAAUAAGUAAGUGUGGCACUAUACACCAUAGGAAACAUCUGCUGAAAUUAUCUGCUAGGACUUCAUAUCGAAAGUUUCCAUCUCCAAAAAAUACUUUGACCUUUAGUUUCUAAAUGCUUCUGCAAAGCCGUAGAUUAAAAUUAUGUCACAUUAGACCUAAGUGCUGCAGCAAAAUUCCACUAAAGACAAGGAAGGGCAGUGUUUUAAGGUAAAGUUUUCUUACAUGUAUACCAAAAGGUACAGAUGAAAAAACUAGAGGAGGUCUCUGUUACACUAACCUUUCCUGAGCCUAAGACUUGAAGCACUUCAAAUAAUUUUACUAUUUUUCCCCAUUUUACAUGUUCCCAUCUCCUUUGAAUUGAUACCAACUUCUGACCCAAAUGUAACUUCAAACCAGACUAUUAUUUGGAACAAUAACUUUGGCUCAAAAAGCAUAAUACUAUCCUGCUCAAUUUAACUAACAGCAACAAAACCCAAUUAACAAUUGAACCUGUGCCAAAAUAAAAAGCUGUGUUUAUUUUGUAGAAAAACCUGUGAAGGGCUUCACACAAUUGCAAAGAGUCUUGCUUGAAACUAAAAUAAGAAAAAAAAAAAUCAGGAGCUACAUUUACUCCUCAGAUUAUCAGAGAUAGCAUCAGAGAUAGCAUAGCAUCUAAACCUGACCAAAAAUAAAAUAAAAAUUAAAAAUUAAAAAGACCACCAGUGGAAAAAUAACCCAUAUUGUUCUCUAGCAACAUAGCAACUGUUUGUUCUCCUGGCCAUUGCAACACACAACUACUCUACUCUUCAUAUGAUAUGAUAUAUUCAUUCUGUCAGUGAUACUCCUCCCAUCUCAAGAGGAUUCUUCUGCAUGUCUUUCUGAGUUCUUUUCAAAAACAACUAUUUGCUCCUAUUCAGCACAUCCUGACUGCUGAUCCCAAAAACUUCUGCUAGGAAGUAUGCUCUAGUGUAUGUUCUUUUUUAUGACCAACUUCUACACUAAUCUACUUUCUUUCCCCACAUGACUGGAUUAAAGUUUUAUGGGGCCCAGGGUAAAACCAAACAAUAAGAAUAAUCUUACUGUCAUCGUCACCAAGUUUCACAGUGAUUCUGUCCUUGUGUUUUCCUCAUUUCAUCCUUUUCCUCCUCCCUGUUUUAGACCAUUGAUUUCUUUACUUGCUGUCCCUCAGUCUGAAGUCUUCCCUGCUGCUCACAUGAAAGAGUGUAAGUUACUGACUGUUGAAAACUUCAGCUGAAACACAGCCAGGUCAAGAUGAGGUUACAUAAAAGUCUAAAGGCAACUUUUUUAGGUCACAUUCUCAGCAGCACAGAUUGUGAAAGUUUCAGUAAGCAGACUGCACUUAGCACUCUAGCCAAUGGUAUUUAUUACAUUAAUAUUGUGCCCAUAGACAGUUUCUAAAGUGCAUUUCUACCAUGUCCAUCCUAUAAGCACAUACUGUACUUGUAUCAUUCCCAGACUACCUAUGCAGCCAGGCGUUUAUUUGUGCUCAUGAACAGACAGGAAGAAACUUCAAAGUAGCUGUUUUUCCAAAAAUAAUUUUACGACAAAAUUACAUUGUCUUGGGUGGGGUGGUUUUUUGUUUGUUUGUUUGUUGCCAUAUGGAGAUGAGCAAGUCUUUGAAACAAUAGACAAAAUGCCUAGUCACUCUAAAUACUUUA